GAGCAAACGGCCCAGCUGCCUUCCCCUGCGGCACGUCCUGGGCCCAGCCCAGACAGCAGAGGAGGAGCAGCCCGAUGGAUGCUACACCCAGGUGUCCCAGGAGGUCGUGCAGGGCAGAGAGAGCCAGGGGGACACAGCAGGAGGAUGUGGGGAGCCCCCAGAGCCCCCCAGCACCGAUGGGGUUGAUGAAGCCAUCAAGAGAAUCGUUGCCCUGCUCCGGAGUGCAGGAGAUGAGCUGGACAGGGAGG
RNAcentral lists this long non-coding RNA (248 nucleotides) under Zonotrichia albicollis (white-throated sparrow). RNAcentral's name for it is "lncRNA (ENSZALG00000003767.1)". Lineage: Eukaryota; Metazoa; Chordata; Aves; Passeriformes; Passerellidae. The record is from RNAcentral.